RNAcentral lists this ribosomal RNA (391 nucleotides) under uncultured bacterium. RNAcentral describes it as "partial 16S ribosomal RNA". It matches the Rfam family "Bacterial small subunit ribosomal RNA", at positions 523 to 917 of the family's 1533-position model. The record is from RNAcentral.
AUACGGAGGAUCCGAGCGUUAUCCGGAUUUAUUGGGUUUAAAGGGUGCGCAGGCGGCCAUUUAAGUCAGCGGUUAAAUCGUGGGGCUCAACCCCAUUCUGCCUUCGCAACUGGUUUCCUUGAGUGUAGAUGAAGUAGGCGGAAUUUGUGGUGUAGCGGUGAAAUGCAUAGAUAUCACGAGGAACUCCGAUUGCGCAGGCAGCUUACUAAACUACUACUGACGCUCAGGCACGAAGGCGUGGGGAUCAAACAGGAUUAGAUACCCUGGUAGUCCACGCAGUAAACGAUGAUUACUAGCUGUUUGCGAUACAAUGUAAGCGGCUGAGCGAAAGCGUUAAGUAAUCCACCUGGGGAGUACGUUCGCAAGAAUGAAACUCAAAUGAAUUGGCGGG